GGGAGAGGCCGGAAUCGUCGUUCUCGCCGCCCGCCGCGAUGCCGUCAUCCUUCUGCGCGUAGAAGAACUGGGAGAAGACGAGGGCGGGGAUGGUGAGGAGGAUGAAGCCGAGGAUCUCGUCGUUGAUGCCGAGGAUGAGGCCGGUGCCGUCGCCGUUGAGGCGCUCGUCAACCUGCGGGGGGGGAAGGGCGGGGCGGAGAGGUGAGCCGAUUUUUUCAAGGCUGAUUUUUUGGCGAUCCGCGGAGACCGAUUGCCCAUACGGCGCGAUCGGGGAUGACGACACGGGUCCCUCGUUCGUAGUUGGAAUCGCUCGGUCGGGGUUGGGGUUACGGGGGAGCGCGCACGCACCACGGCGAGGGCGGGGAGGGUCUGCGCGACGAGGCCGGUGACCGCGGCGGAGAGCACAGCCUUCUUGGGCACGGAAGCCUUGGCGACGGUGGCCUUGGCGACUGGAUACGAAGGGGGAUAAGGGGGUUGGGAAUUUCGUCAGAUCGUGGCAUUCGCGUGGAGCGUGCUAGGGCUGGAACUAACUUCCGCCGCGGGGGGUUCGAUCGGUUCGCGCGCUUCGCGAUUGGUUGGUUCGGGUGCACUCACCGGUGGCCUUGCGGGCAACCUUGCGGGCCGCGGGCUCUGCGAGAGGGAGAAGAGAGGGGCGAAGGAUCGAGGUCAGCGCUCGCGUCGUCGCCAGAUCGGGGAGAGGGUAGGGAGCUCGUCAACAAUCGCCGGGCGAGGCGAAAGAUGUUGCGAAAAGAAGCGGGGGGCGGCACGAUCCGCGCCCCGUUCGCGUCUGAUCGCGCGGGCACUCAC
RNAcentral lists this long non-coding RNA (807 nucleotides) under Micromonas commoda. RNAcentral's name for it is "long non-coding RNA (MCOM_LNC000402)". Lineage: Eukaryota; Viridiplantae; Chlorophyta; Mamiellophyceae; Mamiellales; Mamiellaceae. The record is from RNAcentral.